UACGUAGGGCGCGAGCGUUGUUCGGAAUUACUGGGCGUAAAGCGCACGUAGGCGGCUUUGUAAGUUAGAGGUGAAAGCCCGGGGCUCAACUCCGGAAUUGCCUUUAAGACUGCAUCGCUUGAACAUCGGAGAGGUGAGUGGAAUUCCGAGUGUAGAGGUGAAAUUCGUAGAUAUUCGGAAGAACACCAGUGGCGAAGGCGACUCACUGGACGAUUGUUGACGCUGAGGUGCGAAAGCGUGGGGAGCAAACAGG
Molecule: ribosomal RNA, 253 nt
Filed under: uncultured bacterium
Lineage: Bacteria
Description: partial 16S ribosomal RNA
Rfam family: Bacterial small subunit ribosomal RNA
Source: RNAcentral